Molecule: ribosomal RNA, 373 nt
Filed under: uncultured organism
Description: partial 16S ribosomal RNA
Rfam family: Bacterial small subunit ribosomal RNA
Source: RNAcentral
GGAGGGCGCAAGCGUUGUUCGGAAUCAUUGGGCGUAAAGCGCGUGUAGGCGGCUUGGCAAGUCGGGUGUGAAAUCCCGGGGCCCAACCCCGGAACUGCACUCGAAACUGCCUCGCUAGAGUCCCGGAGAGGAAGGCGGAAUUCCCGGUGUAGAGGUGAAAUUCGUAGAUAUCGGGAGGAACACCGGCGGCGAAGGCGGCCUUCUGGACGGUGACUGACGCUGAGACGCGAAAGCGUGGGGAGCAAACAGGAUUAGAUACCCUGGGUAGUCCACGCCGUAAACGUUGGGUGCUAGGUGUCGCGGGUAUUGACCCCCUGCGGUGCCGUCGCUAACGCAUUAAGCACCACGCCUGGGGAGUACGGUCGCAAGGCUA